GCGCCGGUGGUGUAAGGCGAACAUCGCUGCCCGGAAAGCAGAAGAUGCGGGUCCGAGUCCCGCCUGGCGCA
This is a non-coding RNA of Heligmosomoides polygyrus, 71 nucleotides long. Lineage: Eukaryota; Metazoa; Nematoda; Chromadorea; Rhabditida; Heligmosomidae. The record is from Rfam.